UACGUAGGGUCCGAGCGUUGUCCGGCGUUACUGGGCGUAAAGCGCGCGCAGGCGGCGGUGCUGGCCCGGCGUGAAAGCCCCCGGCUCAACCGGGGAGGGUCGUCGGGGACCACACCGCUUGAGGGCGGUAGGGGCUGGUGGAAUGCCUGGUGUAGUGGUGAAAUGCGUAGAGAUCAGGCGGAACACCCGUGGCGAAGGCGGCCAGCUGGGCCGUCCCUGACGCUGAGGCGCGAAGGCGUGGGGAGCGAACGGG
RNAcentral lists this ribosomal RNA (253 nucleotides) under uncultured bacterium. RNAcentral describes it as "partial 16S ribosomal RNA". It matches the Rfam family "Bacterial small subunit ribosomal RNA", at positions 524 to 776 of the family's 1533-position model. The record is from RNAcentral.